GACAGAGGUGCCAAGCGUUAGGCGGAAUCACUGGGCUUAAAGCGUGUGUAGGCGGAUUUGUAAGUACCUUGUGAAAUCCCACGGCUCAACCGUGGAACUGCUCGGUAUACUGCUUAUCUUGAGCCACUUAGGGGCUACCGGAACAAAUGGUGGAGCGGUGAAAUGCGUAGAUAUCAUUUGGAACGCCAAUGGUGAAAACAGGUAGCUGGGAGUGUGCUGACGCUGAGACACGAAAGCCAGGGGAGCAAACGGG
RNAcentral lists this ribosomal RNA (253 nucleotides) under uncultured bacterium. RNAcentral's name for it is "partial 16S ribosomal RNA". It matches the Rfam family "Bacterial small subunit ribosomal RNA", at positions 524 to 776 of the family's 1533-position model. The record is from RNAcentral.